AUGAUGUCUAUGAUUAAUAUAGUAUUAUGAUAUGGAUACUUGAUGUAAUGGACAUAAGGAUUGGGAAAUGACAUUGGUAAACCUAUGAUGCUAAAUGAAAGAGGAACCUAGUGUUGUGUCUAAAGACAUAGUUUACUAGUGGCAUUGGAUUUAGUGUGAUAGAAACACUUAUAACUUGGACGAGUGGCAUUGGAACCUAGUUAUGAUAUAUGCAUGAGAAUCUAGUGUAGUUGACACUUAUGACAUUGAACAUAGGGAAUAGGUGCAUUUUCUUAGUUUGUGGCAUAUUGCAUGAGAUGGCAUAUGCAUGAGAAUCUAGUGUAGUUGGCACUUAUAGCAUUGAACAUAGGGAAUAGGUGCAUUUCUCUAGUUUGUGGCAUAUUGCAUGAAAUGGCAUAUUG
Molecule: long non-coding RNA, 401 nt
Filed under: Ananas comosus (pineapple)
Lineage: Eukaryota; Viridiplantae; Streptophyta; Magnoliopsida; Poales; Bromeliaceae
Description: long non-coding RNA (ACOM_LNC035091)
Source: RNAcentral